AGGAGGACGCCAGGACUGCGUCCCGGAGCCAAGUGCGGGAGGCGCGCAGGGCCGGCGGCGCGCGGAGAAAUGAGCAGAUUUGCAGAAAAACUGGUGUCCUGAAAUUUAAAACUAAGGCAUCGGUGCUACAGAGCUGCUCUAAGCUGUGGGCCAACAGGAGGCUGGGAGCUCUCCUCUAAAUUGCUUUGUGACCUUGGACAAGAACCCUCCCCUUCCUGGACUGCAAAUUUCCUCCUCUGUAAAAUGAAGGGUUAUGCAACAACUGAGGCAUAGAGAAGUCACUUGCCCAAGGUCACCCAGCAGGCUCUGGCUGAGAACAUGGCCAAUGACAUUGAUGAGCUCAUUGGCAUUCCCUUCCCCAACCACAGCAGUGAGGUCCUGUGCAGCCUCAA
This 392-nucleotide long non-coding RNA is filed under the name Homo sapiens (human). Its description in RNAcentral is "non-protein coding lnc-SMAD2-3:13". The record is from RNAcentral. Lineage: Eukaryota; Metazoa; Chordata; Mammalia; Primates; Hominidae.